Molecule: unclassified non-coding RNA, 334 nt
Filed under: soil metagenome
Description: partial contains 5.8S ribosomal RNA, internal transcribed spacer 2, and large subunit ribosomal RNA
Rfam family: 5.8S ribosomal RNA (bases 1-120)
Source: RNAcentral
GAUGAAGAACGUAGCGAAAUGCGAUAAGUAAUGUGAAUUGCAGAAUUCAGUGAAUCAUCGAAUCUUUGAACGCACAUUGCGCCCGCCAGUAUUCUGGCGGGCAUGCCUGUUCGAGCGUCAUUUCAACCAUCAAGCCCCAGGCUUGUGUUGGAGCCCUGCGGCUGCCGCAGCCUCCCAAAACCAGUGGCGGGCUCGCUAUCACACCGAGUGCAGUAGUUUACUCUUCGCUCAGGGCGUGUGGCGGGUGCUAGCCGUAAAACCCCCAACUUCUCAAGGUUGACCUCGGAUCAGGUAGGAAUACCCACUGAACUUAAGCAUAUCAAUAAGCGGAGGA